GCUACCAUAGCUCAGUGGGUAGAGCAUCGGCAUCAUAUGUCGAAGGUCUCGGGUUCAAGUCCCGAUGGAGCA
Molecule: non-coding RNA, 72 nt
Organism: Anneissia japonica
Lineage: Eukaryota; Metazoa; Echinodermata; Crinoidea; Comatulida; Comatulidae
Source: the annotation of a RefSeq genome assembly